Molecule: long non-coding RNA, 1285 nt
Filed under: Olea europaea (common olive)
Lineage: Eukaryota; Viridiplantae; Streptophyta; Magnoliopsida; Lamiales; Oleaceae
Description: long non-coding RNA (OEUR_LNC004006)
Source: RNAcentral
ACAGAUUGUUCUACAUCAUUUAUUUCGUCAACAUGGAACAGAACUUGUGGUCUCUGGAGAUGGUUAGUCUUCUCGAGUGUAACUAAUAAAAAUAACGAAAAUGCUGAUUGUCCAGGCCAAAAAUUUCCACCUCGGCCGUCGGAUUUGGAAAAAAAAUAUAUAUAUAUGGGAUCUGGGGGCUGAGGGUUACCCUGUUUCUGAGCCUGGCUCAGAAGCAGAACUCUAAAAAUAAAUAACCAAAAAACACUAUAUACCAUAUCCUUUGUUUGAUUCCUUAUAAAAUUUUAAUAUAUUUUUCUUUUUUCUUUCAAUCCUACAUUUUUCAAUAAAUUAAUAUUAUAUCUAAAUUUAAAAUUUUUUCUUAUUUUUUUAAUCACGUAUUCUCCAAAAAUUAUUAUUCCAAAAUACAUUUUACUCAAAUUUUUUAUUAUAACGGUUGUCAAACAACUGAACAAAGGUAAUAACAUACAUUUAUAAAUGUAAAAAUGCAUAAAACAUGAAAGAAACGACAAAAUAUGUUUAAAAAUUUACUAAGAGAACUGGAUCUUAAAAUUAAUUAGCAAGAACUUCCCAAAUCAAUUCCGGGUCGAAAGAUGGGAUCCGAGAAAGUGAACAACAUUCAAGCUCCGAAUCCAUCGAAGAAACCGAGGAAGGUGAAUUCUCACCCUUCCAAAACCCAUCUUCAGAAAUACUUGGCGAAACCAUUUCCAUUGAAGAUGAAUUAUGAUCAACUUUAUUUUCUUCUACUUUUUCACUUUUUUUGGCUGCCUUUUUAGCUUUUUCUCUCUUUACCUUUUGGUAAAUUGCUUGAAUUUUGGCAUCUACAGCAUUCGUCAGAGCAGUCAAUCUGGCGCCAUCGCAAAAUCCCAAUUCACUUGGGUCCUUUACAUUUGGAAAAUUCAGGCGAGCAUAUUCGCCGCGGAGUCUAUAGGCGGCACGGUCAUAAGCAUAGGCAGCAGCCUCAGCGGAGUCGUAAGUUCCCAACCAAACUCUAAUUCUGUUAUGUGGAAGUCUAAUUUCCGCCACCCAUUUGCCCCAAUGCCUCUGUCGGACUCCUCUAUAUAGCUUUUUCUUGCUUUGGCUAAAAUAAUUUUUUGGAUGAACCGGUUCUUGAGGUGGGUUUGGGAGGGAAAUUUUGGCAAAUGAAGUGUUUGGUUUAUUAUCAUGGCAUAAUUUUUGAAACAAGUCCCUUUGUCUUAGGUAUACUGAAGAGCCUAAUGGCUGGAAAACAGGGACGUUAUCAAGGUUUGAUGAUUGUUGGCAAUGGGAAAAAAUUGAAUCCAAG